GAUGAACGCUGGCGGCGUGCCUAAUACAUGCAAGUCGAGCGAACGGACGAGAAGCUUGCUUCUCUGAUGUUAGCGGCGGACGGGUGAGUAACACGUGGAUAACCUACCUAUAAGACUGGGAUAACUUCGGGAAACCGGAGCUAAUACCGGAUAAUAUUUUGAACCGCAUGUUUCAAAAGUGAAAGACGGUCUUGCUUUCACUUAUAGAUGGAUCCGCGCUGCAUUAGCUAGUUGGUAAGGUAACGGCUUACCAAGGCAACGAUGCAUAGCCGACCUGAGAGGGUGAUCGGCCACACUGGAACUGAGACACGGUCCAGACUCCUACGGGAGGCAGCAGUAGGGAAUCUUCCGCAAUGGGCGAAAGCCUGACGGAGCAACGCCGCGUGAGUGAUGAAGGUCUUCGGAUCGUAAAACUCUGUUAUUAGGGAAGAACAUAUGUGUAAGUAACUGUGCACAUCUUGACGGUACCUAAUCAGAAAGCCACGGCUAACUACGUG
RNAcentral lists this ribosomal RNA (497 nucleotides) under uncultured bacterium. RNAcentral describes it as "partial 16S ribosomal RNA". It matches the Rfam family "Bacterial small subunit ribosomal RNA", at positions 28 to 507 of the family's 1533-position model. The record is from RNAcentral.